CACGUAGGCACCAAGCGUUGUCCGGAUUUAUUGGGCGUAAAGAGCUCGUAGGCGGUUCAGUAAGUCGGGGGUGAAAGCCCGAGGCUCAACCUCGGAACUGCCUUCGAUACUGCGGGUCUCGAGUCCGGGAGAGGUGAGUGGAAUUCCUAGUGUAGAGGUGAAAUUCGUAGAUAUUAGGAAGAACACCAGUGGCGAAGGCGGCUCACUGGCCCGGUACUGACGCUGAGGCGCGAAAGCGUGGGGAGCAAACAGG
Molecule: ribosomal RNA, 253 nt
Filed under: uncultured bacterium
Lineage: Bacteria
Description: partial 16S ribosomal RNA
Rfam family: Bacterial small subunit ribosomal RNA
Source: RNAcentral